This 253-nucleotide ribosomal RNA is filed under the name uncultured bacterium. Its description in RNAcentral is "partial 16S ribosomal RNA". It matches the Rfam family "Bacterial small subunit ribosomal RNA", at positions 524 to 776 of the family's 1533-position model. The record is from RNAcentral.
UACAGAGGUCUCAAGCGUUGUUCGGAAUCACUGGGCGUAAAGGGUGCGUAGGCCGCACGGUAAGUCAGAGGUGAAAUCCCGGAGCUCAACUUCGGAAUUGCCUCCGAUACUGCCGUGCUUGAGGACUGGAGAGGAGUCUGGAAUUCACAGUGGAGCAGUGAAAUGCGUAGAUAUUGUGAGGAACACCAGUGGCGAAGGCGGCUCACUGGCCCGCAACUGACGCUGAGGCGCGAAAGCGUGGGGAGCAAACAGG